This 443-nucleotide unclassified non-coding RNA is filed under the name Hevea brasiliensis (rubber tree). The record is from RNAcentral. Lineage: Eukaryota; Viridiplantae; Streptophyta; Magnoliopsida; Malpighiales; Euphorbiaceae.
CAUCUCCAAAUAACAUAUAAGCCUGAAAUUUUAAGAAACCUUUCAACAACAAGCUCCUUAAAAUGAACAGAUAUUGUAUCAAAAGACUCCCAAUGUUUAUUCUGAUUAUGAAAAUUCUACAAUACCUAUAAACACAAUGUAACUUCAAAAUAAUCGAUAUAAUUGUGGUCAUUCUGCAAAGAUUGAUAGAGUGCUUCCCAAAACAUUAUGGAACAAUGAUAAUAGACAGGGCAGAAUGAAAGAACAGGAUUCAUGCAGACAACCCAAUAAGUUUGGGUUAAAAUUUAGUUGAAUCAGGUAUGUAUUUGCCUCGCAAGAUAAAGAGGCAUUAGGUAUCAACAACUAGAAAAAGAUGUUGAGCUACUGACUAUGGCAACCCCAGGAAGCAUCUUCUGACAUCAUAAAAUUGCCAUUGCAUACCUUUAAGAGAUACUCAUAGAAAG